UACAGAGGUCUCGAGCGUUGUUCGGAUUCAUUGGGCGUAAAGGGUGCGUAGGUGGCGCCGUAAGUCGGGUGUGAAAUCCCGGGGCUUAACCCCGGGACUGCAUUCGAUACUGCGGUGCUUGAGGACUGGAGAGGAGACUGGAAUUCAUGGUGUAGCAGUGAAAUGCGUAGAGAUCAUGAGGAAGACCAGUGGCGAAGGCGGGUCUCUGGACAGUUCCUGACACUGAGGCACGAAGGCCAGGGGAGCAAACGGG
Molecule: ribosomal RNA, 253 nt
Filed under: uncultured bacterium
Lineage: Bacteria
Description: partial 16S ribosomal RNA
Rfam family: Bacterial small subunit ribosomal RNA
Source: RNAcentral